Molecule: ribosomal RNA, 835 nt
Filed under: uncultured Front Range soil crenarchaeote FRD38
Lineage: Archaea; Thermoproteati; Thermoproteota
Description: bacterial SSU rRNA
Rfam family: Archaeal small subunit ribosomal RNA
Source: RNAcentral
CCCGACGCUAUCGGAUUGAGAUUUAGCCAUGCGAGUCGAACGUCCCCCUGUUGCGGGGGGCGUGGCGUACGGCUCAGUAACACGUAGUCAACCUGCCCUGGAGACAAGGACAACCCCGGGAAACUGGGAUUAAUCCUUGAUAGGUCAUCUCAUCUGGAAGGAGAGAUGGCUUAAAGGGGUACGCGGGCUUCUUCCGCGAAUCUGCUCCAGGAUGGGACUGCGUCCGAUCAGGCUGUUGGCGGGGUAAUGGCCCACCAAACCUGUAACCGGUACGGGCCUUGAGAGAGGUGGCCCGGAGAUGGACACUGAGAGAAGGGUCCAGGUCCUACGGGGCGCAGCAGGCGCGAAACCUUCGCAAUGCGCGAAAGCGUGACGAGGUUAAUCCGAGUGACUUCCGCUGAGGAGGUCUUUUGUCAGCUGUAAAUAGGCAGGCGAAUAAGGGGAGGGCAAGCCUGGUGUCAGCCGCCGCGGUAAUACCAGCUCCUCGAGUGGUCGGGGCGAUUAUUGGGCCUAAAGCAUCCGUAGCCGGUUCCGUAGGUCCUCUGUUAAAUCCAACCGCUUAACGGUUGACCUGCAGAGGAUACCGCGGGACUAGGAGGCGGGAGAGGCGGACGGUACUCCGCGUGUAGGGGUAAAAUCCUUUGAUCCGCGGAAGACCACCAGUGGCGAAGGCGGUCCGCCAGAACGCGCUCGACGGUGAGGGAUGAAAGCUGGGGGAGCGAACCGGAUUAGAUACCCGGGUAGUCCCAGCCGUAAACGAUGCUAGCUAGAUGAUUCAUUCGCAAGUCGCGAAUGAAGUGUCGCAGGGAAGCCGUUAAGCUAGCCGCCUGGGGAG